GAUGAACGCUGGCGGCGUGCCUAAUACAUGCAAGUCGAGCGAACAGACGAGGAGCUUGCUCCUUUGACGUUAGCGGCGGACGGGUGAGUAACACGUAGGUAACCUACCUAUAAGACUGGGAUAACUUCGGGAAACCGGAGCUAAUACCGGAGAAUAUUUCGAACCGCAGGGUUCGAUAGUGAAAGAUGGCUUUGCUAUCACUUAUAGAUGGACCUGCGCCGUAUUAGCUAGUUGGUAAGGUAACGGCUUACCAAGGCAACGAUCCGUAGCCGACCUGAGAGGGUGAUCGGCCACACUGGAACUGAGACACGGUCCAGACUCCUACGGGAGGCAGCAGUAGGGAAUCUUCCGCAAUGGGCGAAAGCCUGACGGAGCAACGCCGCGUGAGUGAUGAAGGUCUUCGGAUCGUAAAACUCUGUUAUUAGGGAAGAACAAACGUGUAAGUAACUGUGCACGUCUUGACGGUACCUAAUCAGAAAGCCACGGCUAACUACGUG
RNAcentral lists this ribosomal RNA (497 nucleotides) under uncultured bacterium. RNAcentral's name for it is "partial 16S ribosomal RNA". It matches the Rfam family "Bacterial small subunit ribosomal RNA", at positions 28 to 507 of the family's 1533-position model. The record is from RNAcentral.